UUCAGGGCAAAGCCCUCGCCGCUCUGCCCACCAGCCCCAGGGGAAGGAGCAGAGCUGGACUCGCUGCUGGAGAAGGUCCCCCGUAGCUUUAUUUGCUGCAGGACCCACUGAAAUCAUCCUCAGCUUUAACAACACCACAGGCUACUCGGAAUGCAAAAAAUCUAUGUAAAUAUACCCUCUGGUUGCAGCUGCUGUGGAAAAAGAAGAAAUUAUAAGGGAGGGGAAGCUGAAUUGUAAAGGUUAAGAAACUUCUCAGGUUCACAAAGCAAGCAGUGGCAAGAUGAGGAAUAAACCCACGGUCUGGUCUCCUGUUCCAGCCACUAGACCUUGUGUUCCUCCACACUCAUGCAAGUUACAGUAAAUGCAUUAUGAGUAAACUGCGGGCAGGUGAAGGAGGUGUCAUUUACAGAAGAAGAAAAAGGAAAAUCACUACAGGGAAUCAGAAGCACACAGGCAUGUAUGCACUUACUUGCAUAUUAAAUAGACAAGAUAAAACUGUUUCUACCCUGCAGAGAUGAGUUAAACAUUGAAAACCAGCGGAGGGCAAACAUGGUCAUUCACUGAUCUCUGAGGUGUAACAGCUACAACUCACAAGGGUUGGGAGGCAGAGGCUGAGGCAAACUGGCUUUGCCUUGUACUUCUCAAGCUCACAAAUUGAAAGGAGAAUGCUGGGAAUGCAAUGUUAAAGUUCUAAAACUGACCCUCGGUCUGCCUUUCGAUAUCAGCAGCUAAAAGGGCAAAACCAGAGAGAUACAAAGAUACAAAGCUUCUGUAAGAUCCAGGUCUGCCUGGAAGGAGGUGAGGGGAGGCUGUCACCCCGAAUAACAGUCAGCACUUCAGAAGGAGACAGUGCUGAAGUUUGCACCAGGAUUUUAUGCCACAGCCAAAUAAAUCACCACGUCUUGUAUGUGCUACUGUUAAAUGUUAAUAAAUCUUGGCAAAGACCUCACCAAACAACAAAACUGUGUCCCUGUGAAAUACUGUUCAGAAGACCAAUGCAACUCCCACGAACUGAUGUAUCCACCCGUGUAAGUUUAUUGGCAGGAGAUAAAUCUGGUAUAUUUUACACGGUCAUAUAUUAUUAAAAUGCAGAUGGGCCCAGGCACAGCUUACACAACCAGUAUCUCCAUAAGAGGCUCUGCACCUCUACAAUCCAGGGAAUUAUUUUAGGUAAAAGUACAGGAAAAGAUAAUUUAUCUCCUUGGUGGGAGGGAUGAUUUUUGGUAUCGCUAACCUUUCUCAGCAGUAAAGGUGAAAAGAAAAUCGAGUUGGAUCCACCAGUCUCACCUGAAAUCUGUGUCAGGUCCCUGUAAUUCUUUACAAUUAUUAAACACUGAGCUGCAGCAUAGCAUAAUAAAUUACUGUUUCUCAGGUUUUUGGAAGUUAUCUGUUACAGUAAUCUACUAUUAUCAGACAAGAACGGCUUGGUUGCUCUUCGUUUUUCAUCUUUUCUCUGAAGCCCAAGAGAGAUUAGUGCUCUAUUAAAUUUGAAUACCAUACCCAUUGCGGCUCAGCUGCCUUUUUAGGUGUCAGAUCUUACCAACAGCCAAGUGAUGCAUAUUUUCCUCAGAAAACAAUUUCUCACACAACUUCCAAUUUUCUUAUUCUGCAGAACUUGCAGAAGAAGGGGUUGCUUUGAGGGUCAGGGGUUCUGUCACAGAUUCACUAGGAAGUACAGUGUACAUACACUGACAACAGGGAAGGCUUUAUCUUCCCAUGUAAACACAGACUUCCUUGCUUAGUCCUUAUACCUUGUAGGGCUUCCCAAAUGAAGCCUCCCAAUUGCAGGUUACCACAGAAGAGCUGAAAUAGGAUGGACCCCAUCUCUACUUACCAGUAGGACCAAGAAAACAACCUUUGAAUUUUCUGAUUGAUACAGGAACUCAAAUGUCUCUGAUGACCCCCAUGGAUACUAAUAAAUCUGACAAAAAACAUUUUUUCUAAGAAGAUCUCAAAAGGAUGGAUAUCUACUCUAACUUAUGUUUGUUUACAUAGUGUGAAGAACCUCGAUCAGUAUUGUUAAGAUACUAGAUAAUUUGAAUAAGAUUUUGAUGGCUUUGAUUAAUAUUUGUAUAUAUUUUGUCUCAAUAGUUUUGCAGUGUGUGUAUACGAAUUUUCCACAAGCAUUGCUUUGCAAUGUGUGUGCCUUCUCUCUGGUUGCCACAGUGGAUGGAGAAGAUUCCUCCCUGAAUUUGGAUGAUUAUGGAAUCAAGUUUUUGUCCUUCUUCCUACCUCCUCAGGGGCCUCAUAGCCCCCAUAUCCAUCACAGCCCCUACAGAGUCACAGGCUCCAAAGCCCUCAUAGACCCUAGAGUCCCUAUAGCCAUUAUAGCCUUCAGAGCCCCCAUAGCUCUCACAGUCCUCACAACCCCCACAGCCCCAUAGUCCUCACAGCUCCUAUAGCCCUCACAGACCCCAUAAAUCUCACAGCCCCCAUAGCUCUCAAAGCCCAUCACAGCCCCUAUAGCCAUUACAGCCCCCAUAGCCUUCACAGCCCUCUUAGCCCUGAUAGUUCUCAUAGCCCUCAUGUUCCCUAUAGCCCUCCCAGCCCCUAUAGCCCCUCAUAACCCUUAAAGCCCCCAUAGCCCUCAUGACCCCCACAGUGCUCACAUCCCCCAUAUGCCUCACAGACCCCACGGCCCUCACACAACCCAUAGUGGUAACAAACCUCAAACCAUCAGAGCCCCCACAGAGCUCACAGACCAAAUAGCACUCACAGUCCCAUAAGCCUCAGAGCCCCUGUAGCCCUCACAGCCCCUAUAGCCACCAUAGCCGGCAAAGACCCCAGAGCCCUCAAAGAACCUAUUGACCUCAAAGCCUCCAUUGCCUUCACAGACCUCACAGCCCCCAUGACCCUCUACAGCUCUCAAAGUCCUCAGAGGCCUUAUAGCCCUCACAGACCCCACAGCAUCUUCAGGACUUUUAUCACACCUCAGGAUACAAAGUAGAUGAGGAAUUAAGUACACUAAAAAAAAAGCAACUCUCAUGAAGUGUUUUAGCUGGAGAGUCCAUUAUGCUGCAAAAAGUUAUUUCCAGGUUCAAACAGAUGUGCUGGUUAUGAGUAUUCACUUCUCUUGUAUAGAUAGAGACUGGUCUCUACACAAAGUCUCUUAUUUUUCUAGGCUUGGAUAUGUCUCAGAUUUUUCAGAUGUCCAACUGAAUUCCCUUCAGUUGCGCUCCUGGUAGUUCUUUGCGUUCUCCCGGGAGGUCUCUGGAAUUGAAAGGAGGUGCCCAAAACUGAGCUCUGUUCUUCAUGAAAGCCUUUUUUGAGCUCAGUGGAGCAGAAGAAUUAUUUCGCUCUUGUCUUUUACAGCCUUUUCCUACGUUUCAGUAGCAGAGUCACAUUUUUUGUGGUGACUCAUUUUCUAUUUGUGAACUGCUAUGAACCAAGAUUUUCUGUAAAGUGACUGCUUCGCCACUUUGUCUUCAGCUCACAGUUUUGCAGCCAAUUAUUCCCAGCUAUAUGUAAUAGUUUCUCACCUUAUUGAAUUACAUCCUGUUUAGUUCAGAUCUUUGUUCCAACUUGUCAUGAUUUGUUCAAUUCUAAUUACAUCUUCCAAAAUGCUUACAGCUCCCGCCUGAACAGGAUAUCCUCCACAAAUAAGAUAAAAAUAUUCCCUAGGCUCUUGCCUCACAGAAGCAGUUCAGGACUUGGGAUGUGAGCAUCUGGAGGACUCUCUGCAAACUUGACACUAUUUCUGAGCGCCAUUUUGUAACCAUUUCACUUAAGUGUUGUGUAGCCAGCUUCUUGACCUUGCUUCAGUCAAGAUUCCAUAAUUUGCUUUUUUUUUGAUGUUAUGGUUGAUUAUUAUUCAACUUAUCAUCUGAGGCGUUACAAAUAACUUGCAAUUAAUUUACAAAUAAUUUCUUCCAGUAUUUUGCCUGAUACAAAAUAAAGGUGACUGGCCUCUGAUUCCCACCCUUUUCUCGUUUAGGGUAGGCACUAUUUCCUUUUUGCUGGUCUCAUGGAACCUCAGCUGUCUUUUCGGAGUUCUUGAAAGGAAUUGCUAAUAGCUUGGAGAUUACUUAACCAUUUUUCUAAAUGUGUUGUCUAAAAUUGCAGAUUAUUUUUGUAAGCAUCCUACUUGAAUAGAUUGUUUCUUUCCUUAGUUUACCUUGAUCAUUGGUUUGCAUGUUGUUAACAUGUGCUGGGUUUGGCUGGGGUAGAGCUAAUUCUCUUCACAGUAGCUGGUGUGGGGCUGUGUUUUGGGUUGGGUAUAUUCUCUUCCCUUGUUAACCACCUGGUUACAGCUGACAUUUUGGUGAAGAGCAAAGCAAAAACCAUGAGGCUUUGGUUUUCCUCAAAUGACUUGGGAACACUUUCCUUGCCCAGUUGAGAGCAAGUCCUUCCCCAACAAUCUUUCACGUAAUCUUUUUGUUUUUACUCUCUGUGGCUUCUUGACAGUUUUAGCUUAUAUUGUGUGUUAAUCUUUGUGUUGUUGAUUGUGAGAAAUAGAGACCCAAAGCCGGGUAAUUUCAACUUAGAAUUUAUUAUAUGAUAAAAGCAAAUUCAGCGCUGGGUGAUCAGGGGGGAGUUUGAGCAACUCUGAACGCCUGUCACACCCAAAGCAGACAGUGUUCUAUAUUUAUUCUCAGCUACUUCAUGAAUAUUCAUUAUACAUAAGCAUAAACAUUACACAUUGUUAUGUCAGGAAUUCAACAGCUGUUUUUCUUAGACAAGAGUGUAUCUACAUACAAGCAUCAAUAUAUAUUGUUAAGUCAGACAUUCAACAGAUGUUUUCUUAGACUUAGUUUGUUAUCUAUACAAAGUUAUAAAUUUUCAAGAAAGGUGUUAUUAUCUAGUUAACUAAACGAAGUCUCCUCACUAUAAAUUUUGUACAAGGUAAAAGGGAGGUAACUUGUUUUAUGUCUUUAUAGGGGCCCAAUUAAGUUUUGUGAUUUGUUUUUCUUUUCUCUCUCUAGGUUAUAUUGACCUUAUGCUGUUUUCUUUUUAAUUAGCUUGAAUCAUUCCCUUAGUUUAUUACAUUGAUUUUAAUAAUUUAACCUAGAUUUUGCUUUUUUAAAAGGGGCAAGCCAUUGAAAUAUUUCAAUUUAAACAGUCUCUUCCCUUCCUUUCUUGCUUUCUCACUGCAGUGGUCUAGUUGCAGCCUUGAUGUUUCUUGGAAAUAAAUAGGACGGUUUUAUUACAAGCAGGGGUUUCCAUGGCUGCCUCGUGCUGGGGCACUUGGGAGCCAUUUUGUUUGAAGGACUGGGGAGCCAUUUUGUGGUCGGGGACUGGUGGACAGCUUGUGGUUCUGCUUGAAGUUGCUUAUUGCUGCUGCCUGCCUGCUGCUACACACAGUUCUGCUUGGGUGCGAAGGCGAGCCUGGAAGAAUGUAAGGUGGUGAGAGCAGCCUGGGCUCACUGCCAGGGAACCAUGCGGCCUGGGCGGGGAAACAACCUGACAGGUGGAUGAGGACAACCUGCACCAGAAAGCAAAGCUUGCCUUUUAAGGAAGAAAAGAGCGAGGGCUGGCAUGGGAGGAGCGAGGGAGUGGCUAUGUUAAAUUGAAGGGUCUUAAAAGGGCUCGUCCCUCCCAUCCAGGUGUGCUUGAACUGGGCCACAAGUUCGAUGCACCCAGUACGCUGUUAAAUAAAGUUCCUUGUUUCACUUUA
Pseudopipra pipra is the source of this 5614-nucleotide long non-coding RNA. RefSeq lists it as uncharacterized. Lineage: Eukaryota; Metazoa; Chordata; Aves; Passeriformes; Pipridae. The record is from RefSeq and is a predicted model, not a curated record. The transcript has 7 exons.